CAGGGUGUAGCUCAGUGGUAGAGAGCUUGCCUAACAUGCAUAAGGCCCCAGGUUUGAUCCCGAGCACCCUAA
Molecule: transfer RNA, 72 nt
Filed under: Fukomys damarensis (Damara mole-rat)
Lineage: Eukaryota; Metazoa; Chordata; Mammalia; Rodentia; Bathyergidae
Rfam family: tRNA
About the family: Transfer RNA (tRNA) molecules are approximately 80 nucleotides in length. Their secondary structure includes four short double-helical elements and three loops (D, anti-codon, and T loops).
Source: Rfam by way of RNAcentral